AAACCACCAGGAACAGCUUGGAAGUGACCCCAAACCACUUGGAGGUGUCCCCAAAUCUGUGGGAUCUGCAGGUUUGGAACUGUCCCCAAAUCCCCAGGAUCAGUUUGGAAUUGUCCCCAAACCCCGGGAUCCUUUUGCUGCUGUCCCCAGGAUCUGUUUGGAAUUGUCCCCAAACCCCGGGAUCCUUUUGCUGCUGUCCCCAGGAUCCCUUUGGAAUUGUCCCCAGGAUCCCUUUGCUGCUGUCCCCAAGUCCCCAGGAUCAGUUAAGAACUGUCCCCAAAUCUCUGGGAUCCCUCUGGAAUUGUCCCCAAGCCACAGGAUCCCUUUGCUGCUGUCCCCAAAUCCCGGGGAUCUGUUUGGAAUUGUCCCCAGGAUCCCUUUGGGAUUGGUCUCAAACCCCAGGAUCCCUUUGGGGCUGUCUCUGGGAUCCCUUUGGAUCUGUCCCCAAACCUCAGGAUCAGUUCAGAGCUGUCCCCAGGAUCCCUUUGGGGCUGUCCCCGAGUCCCCAGGACCCAUUGGGAUCUGUCCCCAAACCCCAGGAUCAGUUCAGAACUGUCCUCAAGUCCCCAGGAUCAGUUCAGAGCUGUCCCCAGGAUCCCUUUGGGAUUGUCCCCAAACCCCGGGAUCCCUUUGGAUCUGUCCCCAAACCCCAGGAUCAGUUCAGAGCUGUCCCCAGGAUCCCCUUGGAUCUGUCCCCAAGUCCCCAGGACCCAUUUGGAUCUGUCCCCAAGGUCACUCUGUCCCCGUCCCUCUGAGGAUGAUGCUGAACUCCGAGCCCCCGUCCCUCU
Molecule: long non-coding RNA, 788 nt
Filed under: Zonotrichia albicollis (white-throated sparrow)
Lineage: Eukaryota; Metazoa; Chordata; Aves; Passeriformes; Passerellidae
Description: lncRNA (ENSZALG00000001790.1)
Source: RNAcentral